GACGAACGCUGGCGGCGUGCUUAACACAUGCAAGUCGAACGGAAAGGCCCUGCUUGCAGGGUCCUCGAGUGGCGAACGGGUGAGUAACACGUGGGUGAUCUGCCCUGCACUUCGGGAUAAGCCUGGGAAACUGGGUCUAAUACCGGAUAGGAGCCAUUUUUAGUGUGAUGGUUGGAAAGUUUUUUCGGUGUAGGAUGAGCUCGCGGCCUAUCAGCUUGUUGGUGGGGUAAUGGCCUGCCAAGGCGGCGACGGGUAGCCGGCCUGAGAGGGUGGACGGCCACAGUGGGACUGAGAUACGGACCAGACUCCUACGGGAGGCAGAAGUGGGGAAUAUUGCACAAUGGGAGCAAGCCUGAUGCAGCGACGCCGCGUGGGGGAUGACGGCCUUCGGGUUGUAAACUCCUUUCGCUAGGGACGAAGCUUUUUGUGACGGUACCUAGAUAAGAAGCACCGGCUAACUACGUG
Molecule: ribosomal RNA, 465 nt
Filed under: uncultured bacterium
Lineage: Bacteria
Description: partial 16S ribosomal RNA
Rfam family: Bacterial small subunit ribosomal RNA
Source: RNAcentral